GGGGUUGUGGCUCAGUGGUAGAGCACUCACCUAGCACAUGUGAGGUCCUAGGUUUGAUCCUCAGCACCA
Molecule: transfer RNA, 69 nt
Filed under: Marmota marmota marmota (Alpine marmot)
Lineage: Eukaryota; Metazoa; Chordata; Mammalia; Rodentia; Sciuridae
Also listed under: 2 other names
Rfam family: tRNA
About the family: Transfer RNA (tRNA) molecules are approximately 80 nucleotides in length.
Source: Rfam by way of RNAcentral